UACGUAGGUGGCAAGCGUUGUCCGGAUUUACUGGGCGUAAAGAGCGCGCAGGCGGUCGGAUAAGUCGAAUGUGAAAGCCCCCGGCUCAACUGGGGAGGGUCACUCGAUACUGUUCGACUCGAAGGCAGGAGAGGGAAGCGGAAUUCCCGGUGUAGUGGUGAAAUGCGUAGAUAUCGGGAGGAACACCAGUGGCGAAGGCGGCUUCCUGGCCUGUUCUUGACGCUGAGGCGCGAAAGCUAGGGGAGCAAACGGG
This 253-nucleotide ribosomal RNA is filed under the name uncultured bacterium. RNAcentral describes it as "partial 16S ribosomal RNA". It matches the Rfam family "Bacterial small subunit ribosomal RNA", at positions 524 to 776 of the family's 1533-position model. The record is from RNAcentral.